RNAcentral lists this ribosomal RNA (377 nucleotides) under uncultured eukaryote. RNAcentral's name for it is "partial 18S ribosomal RNA". It matches the Rfam family "Eukaryotic small subunit ribosomal RNA", at positions 592 to 976 of the family's 1831-position model. The record is from RNAcentral.
CAAUAGCGUAUAUUAAAGUUGUUGCAGUUAAAAAGCUCGUAGUUGGAUUUCGGGGCAGCCUGGCUGGUCCGCCGCAAGGCGAGUACUGGUCAGCCGCCCUUCCUCUCGAAAGCCCCGACUGCUCUUCGUUGCAGUGGUCGGGUAGUUCGGGACGUUUACUUUGAAAAAAUUAGAGUGUUCAAGGCAGGCCUACGCCUGAAUACAUUAGCAUGGAAUAAUGGAAGAGGACCUCGGUCCUAUUUUGUUGGUUUCCAGGGCCGAAGUAAUGAUUAAGAGGGACAGUUGGGGGCAUUCGUAUUUAAUUGUCAGAGGUGAAAUUCUCGGAUUUAUGAAAGACGAACAACUGCGGAAGCAUUUGCCAAGGAUGUUUUCAUUAA